GUACUGCGUCAGUAACACGUGGAUAACCUGCCCUUAGGACUGGCAUAACCCCGGGAAACUGGGGAUAAUUCCGGAUAGUUCAUGGUAGUUGGAAUGCUCCAUGAUCGAAAGCUAUUGCGCCUAAGGAUGGGUCUGCGGUCUAUCAGGUAGUAGUGGGUGUAAUGUACCUACUAGCCGACGACGGAUACGGGUUGUGGGAGCAAGAGCCCGGAGAUGGAUUCUGAGACAUGAAUCCAGGCCCUACGGGGCGCAGCAGGCGCGAAAACUUUACAAUGCGGGAAACCGCGAUAAGGGGACACCGAGUGCCAGCAUCUUAUGUUGGCUGUCCGCAUGUAUAAAUCACAUGUGUUAGCAAGGGCCGGGCAAGGCCGGUGCCAGCCGCCGCGGUAACACCGGCGGCCCGAGUGGUGGCCACUAUUAUUGGGUCUAAAGGGUCCGUAGCCGGUUUGGUCAGUCUUCCGGGAAAUCUGACGGCUUAACCGUUAGGCUUUCGGGGGAUACUACCAGGCUUGGGACCGGGAGAGGUAAGAGGUACUACGGGGGUAGGAGUGAAAUCUUGUAAUCCUCGUGGGACCACCAGUGGCGAAGGCGUCUUACCAGAACGGGUCCGACGGUGAGGGACGAAAGCUGGGGGCACGAACCGGAUUAGAUACCCGGGUAGUCCCAGCCGUAAACUAUGCUCGCUAGGUGUCAGGGACGGUGCGACCGUUUCUGGUGCCGCAGGGAAGCCGUGAUGCGAGCCACCUGGGAAGUACGGUCGCAAGGCUGAAACUUAAAGGAAUUGGCGGGAAUCACUAGUG
This 800-nucleotide ribosomal RNA is filed under the name uncultured archaeon. RNAcentral describes it as "bacterial SSU rRNA". It matches the Rfam family "Archaeal small subunit ribosomal RNA", at positions 83 to 887 of the family's 1478-position model. The record is from RNAcentral.